GGGCUAGUGGCGCAAUGGAUAACGUGUCUGACUACGGAUCAGAAGAUUCUAGGUUCGCUGGCUGGCUCG
Salmo salar (Atlantic salmon) is the source of this 69-nucleotide non-coding RNA. NCBI's taxonomy places the organism in Eukaryota, Metazoa, Chordata, Actinopteri, Salmoniformes, Salmonidae. The record is from Rfam.